AGCUUUGUGCAGUGGCAGUAUCGUAGCCAAUGAAGUUUAUCCGAGGCUCAAUUAUUGCUAAUUGAAAACUUUUCCCAGUACCCCAUCAUGACUUGAAAAUGUCUCAGAAUUACAGGUGUGUUCUGUCAGAC
Small nuclear RNA from Otolemur garnettii (small-eared galago), 131 nucleotides. Its record names the gene U4. It matches the Rfam family "U4 spliceosomal RNA". From Rfam's summary of the family: U4 small nuclear RNA (U4 snRNA) is a component of the major U2-dependent spliceosome. The structure of U4 snRNA from yeast and human has been reported. Lineage: Eukaryota; Metazoa; Chordata; Mammalia; Primates; Galagidae. The record is from Ensembl.